AGUGGCGGACGGGUGAGGAAUACAUCGGAAUCUGCCUAUACGUGGGGGAUAACCUCGGGAAACCGGGACUAAUACCGCAUACGACCUACGGGUGAAAGCAGGGGACCUUCGGGCCUUCGCGGAUAGAUGAGCCGAUGUCGGAUUAGCUAGUUGGCGGGGUAAAGGCCCACCAAGGCGACGAUCCGUAGCUGGUCUGAGAGGAUGAUCAGCCACACUGGAACUGAGACACGGUCCAGACUCCUACGGGAGGCAGCAGUGGGGAAUAUUGGACAAUGGGCGCAAGCCUGAUCCAGCCAUGCCGCGUGGGUGAAGAAGGCCUUCGGGUUGUAAAGCCCUUUUGUUGGGAAAGAAAAGCAGUCGAUUAAUACCCGAUUGUUCUGACGGUACCCAAAGAAUAAGCACCGGCUAACUUCGUGCCAGCAGCCGCGGUAAUACGAAGGGUGCAAGCGUUACUCGGAAUUACUGGGCGUAAAGCGUGCGUAGGUGGUUUGUUAAGUCUGAUGUGAAAGCCCUGGGCUCAACCUGGGAAUUGCAUUGGAUACUGGCAGGCUAGAGUGCGGUAGAGGAUGGCGGAAUUCCUGGUGUAGCAGUGAAAUGCGUAGAGAUCAGGAGGAACAUCCGUGGCGAAGGCGGCCAUCUGGACCAGCACUGA
RNAcentral lists this ribosomal RNA (652 nucleotides) under uncultured bacterium. RNAcentral's name for it is "bacterial SSU rRNA". It matches the Rfam family "Bacterial small subunit ribosomal RNA", at positions 94 to 743 of the family's 1533-position model. The record is from RNAcentral.